AUGGACGAUAAAUCCCCUCACGGCUUCAGUGUCCUCAGUUCUUUCGUAUGCUUGCCCUUUGAUCAGGCUGGCUGUCAGAGGUAUACCAUGAUGUUCGAGGAAGAAUCCAUAUGGAAGUUUUGGAUAGGAUAUGACAACCGCUGUUACCUAAUGGACGGCGGCGCUGUGACGCUAUGCUACCAUGAAGCUAAAAGAUGGCAUGGAGGUUUACAAGAUGGACACUGA
Molecule: ribosomal RNA, 225 nt
Filed under: Triticum aestivum (bread wheat)
Lineage: Eukaryota; Viridiplantae; Streptophyta; Magnoliopsida; Poales; Poaceae
Description: partial small subunit ribosomal RNA
Source: RNAcentral